AAUGAACGCUGGCGGCAUGCUUUACACAUGCAAGUCGAACGGAGUAGAGCUUGCUCUACUUAGUGGCAAACGGGUGAGUAACGCACGAGAAUCUGCCUUUGGGUAAGGAAUAAUCAGGGGAAACUCUGACUAAUACCUUAUAAUAUGCGCAAGCAUCAAAGAUUUAUCGCCCAAAGAAGAGCUCGUGUCAGAUUAGGUAGUUGGUGGGGUAAAAGCCUACCAAGCCUGUGAUCUGUAGCUGGUCUGAGAGGAUGAUCAGCCACACUGGGACUUAGACACGGCCCAGACUCCUACGGGAGGCAGCAGUGGGGAAUAUUGGACAAUGGGGGCAACCCUGAUCCAGCAAUGCCGCGUGAGUGAAGAAGGCCUUUGGGUUGUAAAGCUCUUUCACCUGUGACGAUAAUGACGGUAGCAGGACAAGAAGCCCCGGCUAACUCCG
This 439-nucleotide ribosomal RNA is filed under the name uncultured Alphaproteobacteria bacterium. RNAcentral describes it as "bacterial SSU rRNA". It matches the Rfam family "Bacterial small subunit ribosomal RNA", at positions 29 to 505 of the family's 1533-position model. The record is from RNAcentral. Lineage: Bacteria; Pseudomonadati; Pseudomonadota; Alphaproteobacteria.